This 497-nucleotide ribosomal RNA is filed under the name uncultured bacterium. Its description in RNAcentral is "partial 16S ribosomal RNA". It matches the Rfam family "Bacterial small subunit ribosomal RNA", at positions 28 to 507 of the family's 1533-position model. The record is from RNAcentral.
GACGAACGCUGGCGGCGUGCCUAAUACAUGCAAGUUGAGCGCUGAAGGUUGGUACUUGUACCAACUGGAUGAGCAGCGAACGGGUGAGUAACGCGUGGGGAAUCUGCCUUUGAGCGGGGGACAACAUUUGGAAACGAAUGCUAAUACCGCAUAAAAACUUUAAACACAAGUUUUAAGAUUGAAAGAUGCAAUUGCAUCACUCAAAGAUGAUCCCGCGUUGUAUUAGCUAGUUGGUGAGGUAAAGGCUCACCAAGGCGAUGAUACAUAGCCGACCUGAGAGGGUGAUCGGCCACAUUGGGACUGCGACACGGCCCAAACUCCUACGGGAGGCAGCAGUAGGGAAUCUUCGGCAAUGGACGAAAGUCUGACCGAGCAACGCCGCGUGAGUGAAGAAGGGUUUCGGAUCGUAAAACUCUGUUGGUAGAGAAGAACGUUGGUGAGAGUGGAAAGCUCAUCAAGUGACGGUAACUACCCAGAAAGGGACGGCUAACUACGUG